AUACGGAGGAUGCAAGCGUUAUCCGGAUUUAUUGGGUUUAAAGGGUGCGUAGGCGGAUGAUUAAGCGUGAGGUGAAAUGCCACUGCUCAACAGUGGAACUGCCUCGCGAACUGGUUGUCUUGAAUGCUCCUGCCGUGGGAGGAAUGUGUGGUGUAGCGGUGAAAUGCAUAGAGAUCACACAGAACACCGAUUGCGAAGGCAGCUCACGAAGGGGUGAUUGACGCUGAGGCACGAAAGCGUGGGGAUCAAACAGGAUUAGAUACCCUGGUAGUCCACGCAGUAAACGAUGAUAACUAACCGCUGGGUCGUAGUGAUUCAGUGGCCAAGCGAAAGCGAUAAGUUAUCCACCUGGGGAGUACGACCGCAAGGUUGAAACUCAAAUGAAUUGGCGGG
RNAcentral lists this ribosomal RNA (393 nucleotides) under uncultured bacterium. RNAcentral describes it as "partial 16S ribosomal RNA". It matches the Rfam family "Bacterial small subunit ribosomal RNA", at positions 523 to 917 of the family's 1533-position model. The record is from RNAcentral.